Molecule: ribosomal RNA, 495 nt
Filed under: uncultured bacterium
Lineage: Bacteria
Description: partial 16S ribosomal RNA
Rfam family: Bacterial small subunit ribosomal RNA
Source: RNAcentral
GAUGAACGCUGGCGGCGUGCCUAAUACAUGCAAGUCGAGCGAACAGACGAGGAGCUUGCUCCUCUGACGUUAGCGGCGGACGGGUGAGUAACACGUGGAUAACCUACCUAUAAGACUGGGAUAACUUCGGGAAACCGGAGCUAAUACCGGAUAAUAUAUUGAACCGCAUGGUUCAAUAGUGAAAGACGGUUUUGCUGUCACUUAUAGAUGGAUCCGCGCCGCAUUAGCUAGUUGGUAAGGUAACGGCUUACCAAGGCAACGAUGCGUAGCCGACCUGAGAGGGUGAUCGGCCACACUGGAACUGAGACACGGUCCAGACUCCUACGGGAGGCAGCAGUAGGGAAUCUUACGCAAUGGGCGAAAGCCUGACGGAGCAACGCCGCGUGAGUGAUGAAGGUCUUCGGAUCGUAAAACUCUGUUAUUAGGGAAGAACAAAUGUGUAAGUAACUAUGCACGUCUUGACGGUACCUAAUCAGAAAGCCACGGCUAACUACG